GGCCCCAUCGUCUAGCCCGGUUCAGGACACCUCCCUUUCACGGAGGUAACGAGGGUUCGAAUCCCUCUGGGGUCA
RNAcentral lists this transfer RNA (75 nucleotides) under Phycisphaerales bacterium. RNAcentral describes it as "tRNA-Glu". It matches the Rfam family "tRNA". From Rfam's summary of the family: Transfer RNA (tRNA) molecules are approximately 80 nucleotides in length. Their secondary structure includes four short double-helical elements and three loops (D, anti-codon, and T loops). Lineage: Bacteria; Pseudomonadati; Planctomycetota; Phycisphaerae; Phycisphaerales. The record is from RNAcentral.